UCCUACUUAGUGGUCCUACCCCAACAAAGG
RNAcentral lists this non-coding RNA (30 nucleotides) under Rattus norvegicus (Norway rat). Lineage: Eukaryota; Metazoa; Chordata; Mammalia; Rodentia; Muridae. The record is from RNAcentral.